This 95-nucleotide non-coding RNA is filed under the name Otolemur garnettii (small-eared galago). The record is from RNAcentral. Lineage: Eukaryota; Metazoa; Chordata; Mammalia; Primates; Galagidae.
UGGCAGUCCAAUGGUGGUGGGUUGUCCGAACUUAUUGACAUUAAUGUCACUAAAGUUGGUAUACAAGACCCCACUACUAAAUCUGACAGGCUAAA